This 75-nucleotide transfer RNA is filed under the name Actinomycetota bacterium. RNAcentral describes it as "tRNA-Ala". It matches the Rfam family "tRNA". From Rfam's summary of the family: Transfer RNA (tRNA) molecules are approximately 80 nucleotides in length. Their secondary structure includes four short double-helical elements and three loops (D, anti-codon, and T loops). Lineage: Bacteria; Bacillati; Actinomycetota. The record is from RNAcentral.
GGGGAUAUAGCUCAGCGGGAGAGCACUACGCUGGCAGUGUAGGGGCCGAGGGUUCGAAUCCCUCUAUCUCCACAA